CUCCUGAACACGUGAAUCCUCCUCGUUCCCACCAUCAUCUAUCGAGUCCGAAUCAAGCGAAGAACUCUGAGAAGAAUCCUUAUCCUUAAUAUAACCCUUCUUUCUCUGUUGACAAAGCAAAUGGUGAAGUUGGGGAGAGCGUCACAGGCAUAAUCGACCUCCGCACCGUCCUCGAAGGCUUUGUAUCAGUUCUCAGCUCCACGAGGCUAAGAGAGAGCUGCAAAAUCGAAGACGAAUUACAUCAGGGAACAAGAUGUGCAGAUGUUGUUGAAGUUGAAAUGUGUUAAAACUUACAAGGAGCAAGGGGCUAAGCUCUGCUGCAGUGCUGCCACGGACGUUGAGAGGAAGGCUGAUCGGAAUCUCAUUUCCAUCAUAUGAAGAAGCAUAUUCUGCAAGGUUCAGUGAUGCAGUCCCGACUACAGCAUAGCUAUUUCGAAGUACUUGGUUUUCUCCCUGUAAUGAGUUAGUAAAAAAAAUAUUGAUCUCAAUUAGUGAUACCAUUUUAAGUGCUAAAUCACUGCCCCAAAAGACAGGAUAAACUGAUUGAGAGAGGCUGAAGGCUCCCACUCGAGCAAAAGAAAAUCUUGACAGACUCCAAUAUUUUACAAAGGGAAUAGAAAGGACCUCCCAAAGGCCCUUUCCUUCGUUUAACAUAGCGGGCCAAGACAAGGCUCGGGAUCUACCAAAUUAUUUUUAUAUGGUUUAUUUGUAACCACUUAAGUUACUACCCGCUAGCAGAUAUUAUUUGUUUUACUCCAUUAUAUAUUACUGUCAACGCUCACAGUUUCAGAACGCUUACAACUA
Cucurbita pepo subsp. pepo (vegetable marrow) is the source of this 804-nucleotide long non-coding RNA. RefSeq lists it as uncharacterized. Lineage: Eukaryota; Viridiplantae; Streptophyta; Magnoliopsida; Cucurbitales; Cucurbitaceae. The record is from RefSeq and is a predicted model, not a curated record.